RNAcentral lists this ribosomal RNA (740 nucleotides) under uncultured Staphylococcus sp. RNAcentral describes it as "bacterial SSU rRNA". It matches the Rfam family "Bacterial small subunit ribosomal RNA", at positions 60 to 781 of the family's 1533-position model. Lineage: Bacteria; Bacillati; Bacillota; Bacilli; Caryophanales; Staphylococcaceae. The record is from RNAcentral.
AGUCGAGCGAACGGACGAGAAGCUUGCUUCUCUGAUGUUAGCGGCGGACGGGUGAGUAACACGUGGAUAACCUACCUAUAAGACUGGGAUAACUUCGGGAAACCGGAGCUAAUACCGGAUAAUAUUUUGAACCGCAUGGUUCAAAAGUGAAAGACGGUCUUGCUGUCACUUAUAGAUGGAUCCGCGCUGCAUUAGCUAGUUGGUAAGGUAACGGCCUUACCAAGGCAACGAUGCAUAGCCGACCUGAGAGGGUGAUCGGCCACACUGGAACUGAGACACGGUCCAGACUCCUACGGGAGGCAGCAGUAGGGAAUCUUCCGCAAUGGGCGAAAGCCUGACGGAGCAACGCCGCGUGAGUGAUGAAGGUCUUCGGAUCGUAAAACUCUGUUAUUAGGGAAGAACAUAUGUGUAAGUAACUGUGCACAUCUUGACGGUACCUAAUCAGAAAGCCACGGCUAACUACGUGCCAGCAGCCGCGGUAAUACGUAGGUGGCAAGCGUUAUCCGGAAUUAUUGGGCGUAAAGCGCGCGUAGGCGGUUUUUUAAGUCUGAUGUGAAUGCCCACGGCUCAACCGUGGAGGGUCAUUGGAAACUGGAAAACUUGAGUGCAGAAGAGGAAAGUGGAAUUCCAUGUGUAGCGGUGAAAUGCGCAGAGAUAUGGAGGAACACCAGUGGCGAAGGCGACUUUCUGGUCUGUAACUGACGCUGAUGUGCGAAAGCGUGGGGAUCAAACAGGAUUAG